RNAcentral lists this ribosomal RNA (253 nucleotides) under uncultured bacterium. RNAcentral's name for it is "partial 16S ribosomal RNA". It matches the Rfam family "Bacterial small subunit ribosomal RNA", at positions 524 to 776 of the family's 1533-position model. The record is from RNAcentral.
UACGUAGGUGGCGAGCGUUGUCCGGAAUUACUGGGUGUAAAGCGCGUGUAGGCGGGAGGCCAAGUCUGUGGUGAAAUCUCCGGGCUUAACUCGGAAAGGUCAACUGAUACUGUGCGGCUAGAGUGCAGAAGGGGCAACUGGAAUUCUUGGUGUAGCGGUGAAAUGCGUAGAUAUCAAGAGGAACACCUGCGGCGAAGGCGGGUUGCUGGGCUGACACUGACGCUGAAGCGCGAAAGCCAGGGGAGCGAACGGG